ACGGUACCUACAAGAUGGAAAACCCAAAAAUCUCACUGAGGCGGGGGAGAUUGGAGCCAGAUGGAUGGAAGUGGCAGAAAGCAAGAAAGCUACUGUCAAGGGGAACGAAUACCCCAGGGGGCACACCGACCAUAAACCCUACAACCGAGGACAGCCAAAGACCCCACAUACAACCCAAGUAAAGCCACAGACACCCUAUUCUUCCACCUCACCAGUCUCCAGUAACUCACCUCGGCCCAGUGACCCAUCAGAUGGAAGAUGCUUUAAGUGUAAUGAACUGGGACAUAUCAAGGCCAACUGUCCAAAGAACACCAUGCGAGUGCAAUUCAUUACACCACCAUCACACCAAAGAUCCCCAGGCCCAGAUGCCUCUCAAAUACCCUUGGAGCGAAGGGAAAAUUUGAGAGUGGGCGGAAAGAAGGUUACUGCGUGGAGAGACACGGGGGCACAAGUGUCAGCUAUCCACCAAUCCUUCGUUGACCCCAAAUUCAUCAACCCAAAGGCCAAAGUUACAAUUUACCCCUUCAUGUCACAAGCUGUAGACUUGCCUACAGCUCAACUGCCUGUCCAGUACAAAGGCUGGUCAGGAAUGUGGACUUUUGCAGUCUAUGACAAUUAUCCUAUCCCCAUGCUACUGGGGGAAGACUUGGCCAACCAGGUGAGGCGGGCCAAGAGAGUGGGAAUGGUUACACGUAGCCAAACCAGGCAAGCUUCCAGACCCAUUCCUGUUCCUGAGCCGUCCACAGAGGCCCCGUCUGUGUUACCAGAGACCCAGACAGAGGUAGUGGACCCGGAUUCCAUGCCUACCACUGAAACAGCCACAGCAUCUCCAGUCCCAGGCCCGGAACUGGAACAGCAACCAGCACCAGCAAGUGCAACCACAUCUUCAAACUCAACGCCAGAGGGCGCCAGCGAGCCAGAACUGGCAGAAGCAAAAGACAGCCAUACCCAAAAGGCUCAGCCAGAGCCUGAAAUACCCUCAGGUGCACCAGCGGAGAGCGGUUCACCAGCAACGGAAACAACCCCAUCACCUACAUCGCUUCCAGAGGGACCAAGCCCAAGUCCACAGUCUGAGGAAGAACUGGUGACCCCAGCCUCAAGGGAACAGUUCCAGGCUGAGCAGGAAGCAGAUGACAGCCUUCAGAAAGCGUGGGCGGCGGCACGGAGCACCCCACCGCCUCUCAGCUCUUCUAAUCGAUCCCGGUUUGUUAUAGACCAAGGACUUUUAUACAAGGAAAUUCUUUCUGGUGGACACCGGGAAGAAUGGCAGCCGCAAAAACAGUUGGUGGUUCCAACUAAGUACCGGGGGAAGCUCUUAAGCUUAGCCCAUGAUCAUCCCAGUGGCCAUGCUGGGGUGAACAGAACCAAGGACCGGUUGGGGAAGUCCUUCCACUGGGAGGGGAUGGGCAAGGAUGUUGCCAAGUAUGUCCGGUCUUGUGAGGUAUGCCAAAGAGUGGGAAAGCCUCAAGACCAGGUCAAGGCCCCUCUCCAGCCACUCCCCAUAAUUGAGGUCCCAUUUCAGCAAGUAGCUGUGGAUAUUCUGGGUCCUUUCCCAAAAAAGACACCCAGAGGAAAACAGUACGUAC
This is a long non-coding RNA of Gopherus agassizii (Agassiz's desert tortoise), 1586 nucleotides long. The record is from Ensembl. Lineage: Eukaryota; Metazoa; Chordata; Testudines; Testudinidae.